This is a non-coding RNA of Pelobates cultripes (western spadefoot toad), 820 nucleotides long. The record is from the annotation of a GenBank genome assembly. Lineage: Eukaryota; Metazoa; Chordata; Amphibia; Anura; Pelobatidae.
CUACUACGCUCUUCCUGAAACUGAAUUGAAGAUGCAGAAUGCUGCUGGGAAAAGGGAGAUCAAGCUCUGGAGGCAAUCUUUGGGGUUAAACCAUUUGAGAAUGGUUAAACGUCUUCAGGUAAGAAAGUGCCAGGGACCUCCUGGUACCAUAACAAAUUAAUUUAAAUUAAGUUGUUAUGGUGCCCAGAGUGUUCCUUUAAAUGUUAAGCAAUGGAAAUUUUUCACCAGUAUGCUUUUUCUAAAGAAUGUUUUUCAGCGUCAAGCCAUCAAGUGAGAAAUCACAAAAUAGACAACAAAAACAUAUGCAGUAUCUCUACAACAACAGUGAAAAAAACAAUGUCUAUACAAUUGUUUUAGAACUUGUUCAACCUAUAAUUACAGCUGUAUUUAACACAUUCUAUUUGAGUUGAUAUAUUAGUCCAGUAAUGUAGAGAUGUGCAAUUGUUUUUGUACGAAUACGAUUUUGUCAGAAAAUUCAGAGGCUUUCGUAAACGAAAGCCCUACAAACAAAAUAUAAAUAAAAAAUGAAAGGGCAAAUGCCGAAUGCAUUACCUUUUCAUUUUGUUUCGUUCAUUUAAUAGACUCUGUGAUGUAGGGGAAUAAACCCCCACAGCACAAAUAAAUAACUGUGCACAUGGGCAAUAACAAAAACGAGGAGGGAGCCGGCAGCGCUACCAGCUCCCUCCUUGUAUUAAAUAACUAUUUCUACCACACCUGAAUUUAAACCUAUGGGGGUCACUAUGACCCCUAUAUUAAUAAAAGGGAGGUUAAAUCCUCCUGCAUGCCACUACUAGGGGCAUGUUGCCUAAACAGCAAGCAG